Molecule: long non-coding RNA, 2432 nt
Organism: Coturnix japonica (Japanese quail)
Lineage: Eukaryota; Metazoa; Chordata; Aves; Galliformes; Phasianidae
Source: RefSeq, a predicted model, not a curated record
CAAAACGACUUGCAGGCUGGUUUCCUGAACUUUUGUGUGCACCCAGGAACACAGAAAAUUCCUUCACCAACAUGUGGGAAAGUUUAUAUUAGGAAAAGCAUUUGCAGUUAAAAAUUAAAUAGUCUUAAAUCUAAAUUAUUUUCAGUCUAGGGGGAGCUUGAGGCUGAGGAGCCAUCUGGCUUUUGCUGAUACCAGAGCAAACUGGGAAAAUGCCAGGUGACUUCUACAGAGGGGCAGAAAUAAGGGAGGUGAGUUUGUUUGGUAGGAGGGGGAGGGCUAACAUCACUGCAGCUUGUUUUGAUUAGGUGAGUUGUUAGUCUCUGUCCUUCAGUAAAGCAGGUUGUUCUGAAAAGAAAAAAAAAGAGUCUCAGCUGCAAAUGUAGUCCUUCUGGGCAAGCUGGUAUUUUGUUCUGUGUUGUGACUGAAGAUUUAGCCCUUAAAACAGGAUAAGACCUCCAGCAAGAAUGGUGUUCAUGCAUGAAAUUGUACUGUUUAGGCUUGAUGGGUGCUUAGAAAAAGGCAAACGCAGCUGAGUUUGCAGCAUCUCUCUCAUCUGUUGAAGUGAAGUCAAGUGCACUACAGCCAGGAGCCCUGAUCCUGAGCAGUUAAUGGGAUUCUGAUUAGGCUUGACUUUUCAAGCAACAAAACUUACAAACAAUGUUGGUAACUCCUCCAUGUACUACUGUCAGUGAAAGAAAUGUUUCCCGAGACAGAGAGAGGCACUGCAAAAUUGUCUGGAGUGCCCAUGGAUAUAUCUGCUGGAUUGAAGACUAGUUAUUUAAGAGGAAAAAAAACCGCGACAAAGCAGCCUUCAGCCCCAAGGCCACAGAUAGCUAUCUGAGAUACUGUGGACACAGCGAACAAGGAGGAAGUGCCAGUAGAGAUAGAAAACUGGAUUAAGUGAUGGCUGAAAAUAUGUUCAGCUCUGCUCUUUGUCCUCAACUUACUCAUUAUUGUGAUGGGUAAACAUUACUUUGCAAAAGCAUUUUCUUCUUUUGAUGUAGUCCAAAUAAAUAAUUACAAAUUGUAUUUGUAGAGUUGAUGUCUUGUUGAUUUGGGUUUUUUUUCCUAAUCUAUAAAUUCUCAACAUAAAGGGGUUUCUAGCAGAAACUGACAGUGAUGCAAAUGAACCCUAUUUCCUCUGAAAUAUGAACACCAAUGAUACUUUUACAAGAAAGUAAGAACGCUAUUGCUAAAGAGAAUCUGUGUUCAGUGAUACAUUUGAAUGGACUGAUCAGAAGUUUUCAUGCUAGUAGUAGCUUGAUGUUGUUUGUCAUGGUUUAAGGUGAAUUAUUGAACACGGUAUUGCUUACAGCUGUUUAGUUUUAGUCUUAGAGUUACCUAAGGAUUUUCCAAAUGUGAUCACAGUUGACAGGAUCUUAGAAUGGCUUGGAUUGGAAGGAACAUCAAAGAUCACUCAGUUCCAAUCCCCUUUCUUUAGUUUAAAACCAUUUGCCCAGUCUCUGUCUACACAUGUAAAAAGUUGAUUUCUCUCCUGUUUAUAAUUUCCCUAUAAAAUUGGAAGGUCUAAAGGAAGUCUCUCUAGUCCAGCUUUUUGUCUAUCAGAGCCCCCAGGUCCCUCUCUGCAGGGCUGCUCUUAAUGAGUUCUUCAUGUCAAUGCAUGUAUCUGGAUUGCCCCAGCUAAAAUGCAACAGCUUGCACUUGACUUUGUUGAAGCUCAUUAGAUUCACAUGGGCCCCUCUUUUGAGUUUGACACUAUCCAUUUAGAUGGCAAUCUUCUUCCAAGGUAACUUGAGCCUUGCAUCCUCAAAACAGGCGUAACAGUUGUAAUAGCCCAACUGCAGAAGUUAACUAUCUGCAAACCAGAUUCAAGUAAGCUUUUGUUUUGGUGGAAUCUUAAAAGCACAGCAAUUAUUUCCUUUUUGUCUUGUGAUUUUGAAAUUACUUGUACAUCUCUGAAUCCUGGAUUUCCAUGUCUCGUGAUAUUCUAGUUCAAGUUGCCUUUUUAAUGCCAAGGUAUCGACAAAGUUUUUCAAACAUUUCAUUUACCUUUAUAUUUCUGAAACAUUUUAAACCUUCACUCUUUUAAGCAACUCUUAUAGAUUCUUUUCAUUGUCUCUUCAGAAGAAACUUGUAAAUUUUUCUUUUCUUUUUCCCCUUCUUAAUUAAUUUAGAUGAUUUUUAGUAGACAUUUGUAUUCUGUAAAUUGUGCAACCAAAUCGUGUAAAAUUUCUCAAAGAAUGUUUAUCUGUCUCCUACUGGCUCUUGCUUGUUUAUUUCUUUUUUGUAACUACAACACACUUCACAUCUAACCUACCUUCCCUCCUCCUCCUCUCCCCCCAGUUACUUAGUGCAAAUAUUUAAAUUCUUGAGUCAUCUUAUGGAAAUAUUAUGGAAGUACUCUCAAUUUUGUGUUGCUUUCAUUGUUUGUUUGUUUAACAACCUCACUGUUCUCUUUCUUUACGUAAGUA